This 113-nucleotide non-coding RNA is filed under the name Catellicoccus marimammalium. RNAcentral describes it as "Streptococcus sRNA 10". It matches the Rfam family "Streptococcus sRNA 10". Lineage: Bacteria; Bacillati; Bacillota; Bacilli; Lactobacillales; Enterococcaceae. The record is from RNAcentral. RNAcentral also lists the same sequence under 1 other name.
UUCAAGGGAGUAACUGGCAGAUAAUCUGCGAUAGUAUCACCAACCGAAAUUUUAUUUCUGGUACUAUCUUAAUUAGUGAGACUUGGAUGACGAGGUCAUUCAGGUCUCUUUUU